Molecule: ribosomal RNA, 419 nt
Filed under: uncultured bacterium
Lineage: Bacteria
Description: bacterial SSU rRNA
Rfam family: Bacterial small subunit ribosomal RNA
Source: RNAcentral
AUUGAACGCUGGCGGUAUGCUUAACACAUGCAAGUCGAACGGUAACAGGCCUUCGGGCGCUGACGAGUGGCGGACGGGUGAGUAACGCGUAGGAAUCUGCCUCAUAGUGGGGGACAACGUGGGGAAACUCACGCUAAUACCGCAUACGCCCUACGGGGGAAAGCGGGGGAUCUUCGGACCUCGCGCUAUGAGAUGAGCCUGCGUUAGAUUAGCUAGUUGGUAGGGUAAAGGCCUACCAAGGCGACGAUCUAUAGCUGGUCUGAGAGGACGAUCAGCCACACUGGGACUGAGACACGGCCCAGACUCCUACGGAGGCAGCAGUGGGGAAUAUUGGACAAUGGGCGCAAGCCUGAUCCAGCAAUACCGCGUGUGUGAAGAAGCCUUAGGUGUAAAGCACUUUCAAUUGGGAGGAAAACCUG